This 207-nucleotide ribosomal RNA is filed under the name uncultured bacterium. Its description in RNAcentral is "partial 16S ribosomal RNA". It matches the Rfam family "Bacterial small subunit ribosomal RNA", at positions 143 to 334 of the family's 1533-position model. The record is from RNAcentral.
AUAACAGUUGGAAACGACUGCUAAUACCGCAUACGAUCUAAUCUCGGCAUCGAGGAUAGAUGAAAGGUGGCCUCUACAUGUAAGCUAUCACUGAAGGAGGGGAUUGCGUCUGAUUAGCUAGUUGGAGGGGUAAUGGCCCACCAAGGCGAUGAUCAGUAGCCGGUCUGAGAGGAUGAACGGCCACAUUGGGACUGAGACACGGCCCAG